RNAcentral lists this ribosomal RNA (541 nucleotides) under uncultured archaeon. RNAcentral's name for it is "bacterial SSU rRNA". It matches the Rfam family "Archaeal small subunit ribosomal RNA", at positions 343 to 891 of the family's 1478-position model. The record is from RNAcentral.
CGACUUUACAUGCACGAAAGUGUGAUAGGGGAAUCCAAAGUGCUCAUGCUCUGCAUGGGCUUUUGCCAAGAGAAAACAUCUUGGCGAAUAAGUGGUGGGAAAGACUGGUGCCAGCCGCCGCGGUAACACCAGCGCCACAAGUGGGGAUCCUUUUUAUUUGGCCUAAAGCGUCCGUAGCUGGUUAUAUGAAUCUCUUGUGAAAUUGUUUUGCUUAACAAAACAGCGUGCAGGAGACACUGUGUGACUUGGGACUGGGAGAGGUCGGAGGUACUCCAGGGGUAGGGGUGAAAUCCUGUAAUCCUUGGGGGACCACCAGUGGCGAAGGCGUCCGACUAGAACGGAUCCGACGGUGAGGGACGAAGCCGUGGGGCACAAACCGGAUUAGAUACCCGGGUAGUCCUGGCUGUAAACGAUGCAUACUAGGUGAUGGCACGGCCAUGAGCCAUGUCAGUGCCGUAGGGAAACCGUUAAGUGUGCCGCCUGGGAAGUACGGUCGCAAGGCUAAAACUUAAAGGAAUUGGCGGGGGAGCACAAGCCGAAU